This 72-nucleotide transfer RNA is filed under the name Candidatus Pacearchaeota archaeon. RNAcentral describes it as "tRNA-His". It matches the Rfam family "tRNA". From Rfam's summary of the family: Transfer RNA (tRNA) molecules are approximately 80 nucleotides in length. Lineage: Archaea; Nanobdellati. RNAcentral also lists the same sequence under 1 other name. The record is from RNAcentral.
GCGGUUGUAGUAUAACGGUUAUUACACUUGGUUGUGGUCCGAGAAAAGAGGGUUCAAUUCCCUCCUUCCGCC